This 253-nucleotide ribosomal RNA is filed under the name uncultured bacterium. RNAcentral's name for it is "partial 16S ribosomal RNA". It matches the Rfam family "Bacterial small subunit ribosomal RNA", at positions 524 to 776 of the family's 1533-position model. The record is from RNAcentral.
UACGUAGGGUGCGAGCGUUAAUCGGAAUUACUGGGCGUAAAGCGUGCGCAGGCGGUUUUGUAAGCCAGAUGUGAAAUCCCCGGGCUUAACCUGGGAAUGGCAUUUGGGACUGCAAGGCUUGAGUGCGGCAGAGGAGACUGGAAUUCCUGGUGUAGCAGUGAAAUGCGUAGAUAUCAGGAAGAACACCAAUGGCGAAAGCAGCUUUCUGGGACGGUACUGACGCUGAGACGCGAAAGCGUGGGGAGCGAACAGG